Molecule: long non-coding RNA, 1216 nt
Organism: Wyeomyia smithii (pitcher-plant mosquito)
Lineage: Eukaryota; Metazoa; Arthropoda; Insecta; Diptera; Culicidae
Exons: 6
Source: RefSeq, a predicted model, not a curated record
GUUCGAGGUAAAUCAUGUUGCGCAGAAGAUCCCAAACACUAGAGUCGAUUUGCGCGAUUCGACUUGAAAAUUGCAUUGAGAAUCGUGAUUUAGUAGACCCACCUCUAUUUUGAGCUUUGUUAUCCCGCAUAAUCAAAAACCAUAAGUAAAACGCAACACUGAUCGAAAGAAACCCGCAGCCGGCAGCACAAUAAUUUUGUAAAAGAAAAUUUGUGGAAUAUUUAAAAGUGCGCUUGGUUACUGAAAUGUUUAGGAAGAUAACUAAACCUGGAGGUUUGCUGCCAGAGCUGGCUAAAAAGCAAAAACGAGCAGCCAACCAUGAAGAUAUUGAGAUGAAACAAAAAACAGAAGCGGCGAAUAUUCUGGAACUACCGGAAUUGUUCCAAGAACAACUUGAAAAUAAUAUAGGCCCAACGGCCUCGAAUUUGUAUCCAUCGAGACUCUCGAAGAGAACAAAAGCAGUAUUGAAGCGACAGAACCACCAGAAGAAAAUAACCAUGUUCCCAUAAGUGAUGAGAAUGGAAAUAUUUUUGAGGAAAUAUAUCAUGCAGAGGAAAUCGAUUACGAAGAGAUGGAGGUCCUGGACACCUGUCAAAAAGAUGACAUCAACAAGGAAGACACAAAAAAAACCGCAAGACGAAAAUGCAAUUCAGGUGUUGAAAGAACAAAAAUUAGAAUCUGACAAUCACGCGCUUCGUGUAUCGAAGGAAAACCUUACACUUCGGGAUUCGUUCAAAAUUACAUCGGUCGCUAGGCGGGUUUCACGGAGAGCGAUGGCAUCGAGAUCACCAAGAAAGAAAUGAAAAAGCUCUCAGAUCGUUCUGCAUCGGACAGCAUUUUCUGUGGAUUAUUAUUAAUGAAACUUGUUGAUGUAGAAAAAUUGAUGAUUAGCAGUGUAACAGGUAAACCGUGCCAACGAUUUGCAAAAGUUAAAAACUGCGAUGGAACCAGAGCUUACCCACCAGGAGAAAAACUUGAUCAAAACUUGUUUGAGUUUAUCUGCAACAAGGUUGCUGAGCGAAAUGCAAUAAAGUUUGGCGUCGAAAAUCUGGCUAUAAUCCGUGCAAAUUCAUCCAAAGCCAAAGUUGGCCAAUACAUUGCACAAAAAAUCCAAAAUUUUUAAAAAGCCCAUCAAACACGUGUUGAUAUAAACAUGAGCGCUCCUAAUAAUGCCAGCCAAGUAUGAAUCAAUCGAAAACGUGAAUAGUUAGUAGUA